This 253-nucleotide ribosomal RNA is filed under the name uncultured bacterium. RNAcentral's name for it is "partial 16S ribosomal RNA". It matches the Rfam family "Bacterial small subunit ribosomal RNA", at positions 524 to 776 of the family's 1533-position model. The record is from RNAcentral.
UACGUAGGGUGCAAGCGUUGUCCGGAAUUAUUGGGCGUAAAGAGCUCGUAGGCGGUUUGUUGCGUCGGCUGUGAAAUCCCGAGGCUCAACCUCGGGUCUGCAGUCGAUACGAGCAAACUAGAGUGUUGCAGGGGAGACUGGAAUUCCUGGUGUAGCGGUGAAAUGCGCAGAUAUCAGGAGGAACACCGGUGGUGAAGGCGGGUCUCUGGGCAACAACUGACGCUGAGGAGCGAAAGCGUGGGGAGCGAACAGG